Molecule: long non-coding RNA, 97 nt
Organism: Poecilia latipinna (sailfin molly)
Lineage: Eukaryota; Metazoa; Chordata; Actinopteri; Cyprinodontiformes; Poeciliidae
Exons: 3
Source: RefSeq, a predicted model, not a curated record
UCUCCCCCCGGGCCGCAGCAAAAUUUUCCAAGUCUUCACCGGUCCGUGGUAAUAAAAAGGUUGGGGACCACUGGUCUAGAUGACAAAGAGACAGAAA